Molecule: RNA transcript, 4970 nt
Organism: Mustela lutreola (European mink)
Lineage: Eukaryota; Metazoa; Chordata; Mammalia; Carnivora; Mustelidae
Gene: TTL
Gene name: tubulin tyrosine ligase
Exons: 8
Source: RefSeq, a predicted model, not a curated record
GGCCCAGGACGCGCUGCGGAGCCACAGCGAAGAGCCCCCCACAACCCAGCCCGGGCCGGGAGGGGGCGGCCGCGCGGCAUCACGGGGCGGAGGCGGGGCCGCGCCGGGAGUUGAAGGAGGGGGAGGGGGCGCGGCCUCCGGGCUGACGCGCGGGCGCCGGGGCGCGGCGCCACCCGGACCCUAGCGAUUCGGAGAGCCGGCGCGGCGACGGGCGCCCGGGCGGGUUCCGCGCUGAGCCGCCACCUCGGCCGGCUGGUCCCUGCGGCGGCGCCCGGGCGGCCCGAGGUCACGGCCCUUCGCCAUGUACACCUUCGUGGUGCGCGACGAGAACAGCAGCGUCUACGCCGAGGUCUCGCGGCUGCUGCUCGCCACCGGCCACUGGAAGAGGCUGAGGCGCGACAACCCCAGGUUCAACCUGAUGCUGGGCGAGAGGAACCGGCUGCCCUUCGGGAGACUGGGUCACGAGCCUGGGCUGAUGCAGUUGGUGAAUUACUACAGAGGGGCUGACAAACUGUGUCGCAAAGCUUCUUUAGUGAAGCUAAUCAAGACAAGCCCAGACCUGGCUGAAUCCUGCACAUGGUUUCCAGAGUCCUAUGUGAUUUAUCCAACUAAUCUCAAGACCCCAGUUGCUCCAGCACAGAAUGGAAUUCACCCACCGAUCCAUAACUCAAGGACAGAUGAAAGGGAAUUCUUCCUGGCUUCUUAUAACAGAAAGAAAGAAGAUGGAGAGGGCAAUGUUUGGAUUGCAAAGUCAUCAGCUGGUGCCAAAGGUGAAGGCAUCCUCAUCUCCUCGGAGGCUACAGAGCUUCUGGAUUUCAUUGACAACCAGGGUCAGGUGCACGUGAUCCAGAAAUACCUUGAGCACCCUCUGCUUCUGGAGCCAGGUCACCGCAAGUUUGACAUUCGAAGCUGGGUCUUGGUGGAUCAUCAGUAUAAUAUCUACCUCUAUAAGGAGGGUGUGCUUCGGACUGCUUCAGAACCAUAUCAUGUUGAUAAUUUCCAAGACAAAACCUGUCAUUUGACCAAUCACUGCAUUCAAAAGGAGUACUCAAAGAAUUAUGGAAAGUAUGAAGAAGGGAACGAAAUGUUCUUUGAGGAGUUCAAUCAGUACCUAAUAAGUGCUUUGAACAUUACCCUGGAAAGUAGUAUCUUACUACAAAUUAAACAUAUAAUAAGAUCUCUAAUCUACCUGAAUUCUUAUAUGUCAAGUUUCACGUUUUUUCUACGGGGUAUCCCAUUGACCCAGGACCAUUUGUGCGUAAGACUGGCCUUUCCCCACUGCAUUUUGAAGCUGCCUCAUGAGCGUGGAGCCUGCCAUUAGCACCAGGCACCUCCCUUACCAGAGCUUUCAGCUCUUUGGCUUCGACUUCAUGGUGGAUGAGGACCUGAAGGUGUGGCUCAUUGAGGUCAACGGCGCCCCGGCUUGUGCUCAGAAGCUUUAUGCAGAACUGUGCCAGGGCAUCGUGGACAUAGCCAUUUCCAGUGUCUUCCCACCCCCGGACGUGGAGCCGCAGCACGUCCAGCCAGCGGCGUUCAUCAAGCUGUGACCGAGGGAGGUGCUCAGAGCUGCCUCAGAAGAAGCAUGAGCUCCUGCUCCAGGGGAAGGUGGACUGUCAGGGUGGCUCACUACCAAGCCAGGACUGGAGAAAGAGAGGCAACCGGCAAAGCCGCGACAGAAGGGAGAACACCAGAAGGAAAGGCAGCUUCCCCAAAGAGCGGUGGCUCAGGGGUUCCCAGGUGGCACUCUCAGCGCUGCUGUUGAGAUGUGAGAAUGGAAGCCAGUUGCUCAGAGGCGGGGAGCCAAAUGCUCUUCUAAGGGGAAAAGACAGGGAUUUGAUUAUUUUAUGUUCUCAUCCUUUAAAAAAAAAUCCAGUUUUUAUCCUAAGGCAGCAUUGUGAGCAGCACCUCUCCUCCCUGGGGGUUGAGACUGUUGGACCUUUCGUUGGUGUCUUUCCACCUGCUGCAGCCUUAGUGCCUUAGCUCCAUGCCCAGCUGCAACCCUUCUGUCUGGGACACGGAUUGGAUAUUAUAGCGUCUGGGAGGUUGCCAGUGUGUCCCCUGCCCAUCUCUCUCCACAGCACCUGCCCGUGGAAGUCUGGACAAGCAUGCACCAACAGCGCUCGGGUUCGUGCUGGGCGCCACCUCACAGCGAGCGAAGGGGGCUUUCCUCGUCAUGUUCCUGACGGCAUUUGGUCAGUCACCUGUCAGGGCCAGUGUGGGCUAGGCACCAAAACAGCAAGUGCUGCUCUCGAUCUGCUCUGUGCAUGUUUUAGAAACCAAGCAGCAAGUUUGCCACAAACCCAUAAGCAUCAAAUAAGCAUGAGAGAGAAAACAAAACAAAACAAAAUACGAUGUCUUGCUUUACUUAGUAGUUGGGUGUGGUAGGUUUUGGAAAUAUGAUGAUCCUCACUUAUCUUUGUUUUAACCAGAAUUCUCCAUGCACUUUUGCAAAGUUCCCUUUGGCUCACUUUUUUUUUUGUUGUUUUAACUUCUGUAAAAACCCCUCUAGAGGGUAGGAGAAGUAGAGUUACACACAUAAAUACACACACACACACACCCUACCAAGUGACACUGCCCUAGACACAGGUAGCUCUCCCCCAUUUUCUUGCCCUCAAAGCACCUUCUGCAGGAGCUAGAAGGGCUCGUUUGGUUCCAGGGAAGAUUCUCUGCCUGCUUGUGCCUCUGCAUGCCAGGCGAGGGUCUAAAUGAGUGUUUGUCUGGCCUGAAUGGGGGAAUCUCCUAAAAUGGGAAAGACGUGGUUUCAGAGCUCUACACAGCAUCUUGUAAGUCACUAAAUGUGUCCUGUUAGGUGUAGUUUCCACUCACUGGAUCAAAUAUUCUGUAGUCUUUUCAGGAGGCUACAUCACUAGCAGUGGGAAGAACAAGAUGCUACUUGUGUUCCAACGUGAGCUGAAUGAGCAGGUCCUUCUUAGAAUGUACUGGGAACCACAGCAGGCCUCCUGUCCAGUACGUGCUGUGUUCUUCCUUUGUGUAUAUGUGUGCCCCAUUAUUCUUUCUGUGUGGUACCAGACAACAGUUAUACCGUCAGGGAGACUUUCCUAAAAAAGGGAAAAGAGCAAUGCCUCCUGAAACACGAUGAGAUGUGGGAGCUCACGGUGAAGAAAGGAUAAGGAGUAUUUCGUAGCAGUGGCUGUAGGACGUGGUAGCAUUAUGUCGGGGUGAAGGAGAAAGGCCAACUGGUUUGGCUCUUCUGCAAAUUGGAAUUACAAAAUACUCUGGUUACCCAGAAUACAGACAAUAGGGUUUGCAUCCAGAGUGAAAUUAAACAGCAGGGAAAGUCAGUCUUGGAAGGCCAGCACUAUUCGAUGAGUGUUUGGGGACUUUGAGCAGAUCAUGACAAGGUGCACACCCUUCUAGAAAGUGUGAGCUUGGGAAGUCUCUGUGGACUGGUGACGGGGGAAGCAUGGAGGCUUUUGUGUUAUCAUACGUGAGUGUAGGUCUGUAAUGAUCUUUUGGACCUAAAUUAAAGAGACAUUUGAGAGUUUCCUAACUCUCACAGUGACAGAGCUAAGAAUUUAGAUGGUGCAAGUCCAUGGAUCUUGACAUAAUUACUAAGAAACCUCAAUCACUGGCAUAUAUGUGAGGGACGUAAAACUUUAAAAAGAAAACUAUGCUUCAUUCCUCACAAUGUUUCAAAUAAAUAUCUAUUUCAUGCAUUAGUUUUUGAUCGGGUGGGAUCAGUUUUGGUCAGGUUGGCUCAGAAUUGUUCCAUACCCUUCCAUGAUACCUUUGGCACAGAUGGUAAUGCCUCGCCCCUCAGUCUUCCUACAUGCAGAGUGCGUAUGUGUUGCCAGUUGCUAGGGGAGGAGUGUUCUUUAUUUGGAGAUGUUAAUUCCAAUCUUCGCACUGUCAUUUGACUGCACAGUGUGAGAUGAACCCAUUAACUUCUCUGUGCCUUAGUUUCUUAUCUCAUGGAAGGGAUUGUUGCCUGACCUGGAGACUACCUCAGGGACUUCUAGUGAGGACAGGUGAGGUUAGGAAGACUCAAGAACCUGUGGUACCAAGGUUCUCAGUGCUGACUAUAUGCUGGAAUCACUUGGGGAGCUUUUUUAGAAUGUUGGUUUCUACACCCUGCCUUUCUCUCCCACCUCUGACCAAUGAAAUCAGGACCUGAGGCAUCAGUAUGCUUUGAGAUGCCUUGAACCACUGCUUAAGAAGGAAGGACAAACACACUGCUACCUUAGAAUAAUAAAAUAAGACCUAGGACUUUUUGAAAAAGUUCCUUUAGGAAGGACAGGCAUUUCUUGAGGAAUGACCAUGUUGGUCAACGCGUCGACCUACGUAUUCAUGAUAUAAGCAACUGCUGUCUAAGCAUGUUCUCGUUUUGCUUCUUGUCCAGCAUUUGUAAACUCAAAUAUGCCUUCAUUUCCUUAAACAGUUUGUGAAGCCUUGACAACAAAUGUAAACAGCCAGGAAUUCAUACAUCUGCUAAGUAUGUGUUAAGGGUAUUCGUUACUGAGAGAAAAGCCCCUUCCCUCAUUAACUCCUGUGGUAAUCAUAAACUCGAUUUUACCCAGAACAUUGAAGUGCCUCAGUGUCUGUAUGAUUCAGUGCAGCAGGUGCUGGCAUGCUUACCUGUGCACUCGCCCUUUCACUAGCACCUCAGGAUAAUUAUCCCAGACUCGGGAUAUCUGGUAGUGUCAGAAAUGUAUGGGAUCCACAGGAUUUGCAAACAGCAGCAAAGCUAGAGUGUGUUUUUGUUGACAGCCACGGUUGUGUCAAGCAGGUGUGGAUCCAGCCCUGUUGUGGGGGUGGGGGACUCUGCUGGGGAAGACAAGGGGCCAGAGUAAGUCCCCUGCGGCAUGUGGGUGCUGUGGAGAAAAUUCAGUGAUACACUUGUCUCUGAUCCUAGAUGCAGAAUCUGUACCUAAGAGGAAAUGACUUCUGAAAUAAGGUGAUUUUAUGAAUGUUUAAAAUGCCCAGAGCAUUAAAGUAAUAUUUCAAGCGUC